GCCAGCUUGAAACUCAAAAGACUUGACAGUAUCUCACACACACCUAGAGGAGCCUGUCCUAUAAUCGAUAACCCACGAUAAACCUUACCUGCUCUUGAAUUGAUCAGCCUAUAUACCUCCGUCGCCAGUACGCCUGCCAACAGAUGCCAAAGCGCAUACAACAGCCCUAUCACUCCCACGACAGGUCAAGGUGUAGCUAAUGAGCUUAGGGAGAGAUGGGCUACAUUUUCUCCAUUAGAAAAUACCCAAGAUGCAAUGAAAAUGGCUCGUAAGGCGGAUUUAGCAGUAAGCAGGGCUAGACAAGCCCCCCUGAAGCCUUCCAUGAGAUGUGUACACACCGCCCGUCACCCUCCUCAUAAACACAUAAACGUAACUAAUCCCCCAACAAAAUAAAGAUGAGGUAAGUCGUAACACGGUAAGCGUACCGGAAGGUGCGCUUGGCUAGUCUCAAGGUGGCUUAAAAUUAAAGCGUUAGGUUUACAACCUAG
Molecule: ribosomal RNA, 488 nt
Filed under: Uroplatus fotsivava
Lineage: Eukaryota; Metazoa; Chordata; Lepidosauria; Squamata; Gekkonidae
Description: partial 12S ribosomal RNA
Rfam family: Bacterial small subunit ribosomal RNA
Source: RNAcentral